Molecule: ribosomal RNA, 1250 nt
Filed under: Brachybacterium nesterenkovii
Lineage: Bacteria; Bacillati; Actinomycetota; Actinomycetes; Micrococcales; Dermabacteraceae
Description: bacterial SSU rRNA
Rfam family: Bacterial small subunit ribosomal RNA
Source: RNAcentral
ACCUCGGGAAAUCGUGGCUAAUACCGGAUAUGAUUUUCCACCGCAUGGUGGUUUCUGGAAAGUUUUUCGGUGAGGGAUGGACUCGCGGCCUAUCAGUUUGUUGGUGAGGUAAUGGCUCACCAAGGCGAUGACGGGUAGCCGGCCUGAGAGGGCGACCGGCCACACUGGGACUGAGACACGGCCCAGACUCCUACGGGAGGCAGCAGUGGGGAAUAUUGCACAAUGGGCGAAAGCCUGAUGCAGCGACGCCGCGUGAGGGAUGACGGCCUUCGGGUUGUAAACCUCUUUCAGCAGGGAAGAAGCGAAAGUGACGGUACCUGCAGAAGAAGCGCCGGCUAACUACGUGCCAGCAGCCGCGGUAAUACGUAGGGCGCAAGCGUUGUCCGGAAUUAUUGGGCGUAAAGAGCUUGUAGGUGGCUUGUCGCGUCUGCCGUGAAAACCCGAGGCUCAACCUCGGGCGUGCGGUGGGUACGGGCAGGCUAGAGUGUGGUAGGGGAGACUGGAACUCCUGGUGUAGCGGUGAAAUGCGCAGAUAUCAGGAAGAACACCGAUGGCGAAGGCAGGUCUCUGGGCCAUUACUGACACUGAGAAGCGAAAGCAUGGGGAGCGAACAGGAUUAGAUACCCUGGUAGUCCAUGCCGUAAACGUUGGGCACUAGGUGUGGGGGACAUUCCACGUUCUCCGCGCCGUAGCUAACGCAUUAAGUGCCCCGCCUGGGGAGUACGGCCGCAAGGCUAAAACUCAAAGGAAUUGACGGGGGCCCGCACAAGCGGCGGAGCAUGCGGAUUAAUUCGAUGCAACGCGAAGAACCUUACCAAGGCUUGACAUGCACCGGACAGCCCCAGAGAUGGGGUCUUCUUCGGACUGGUGCACAGGUGGUGCAUGGUUGUCGUCAGCUCGUGUCGUGAGAUGUUGGGUUAAGUCCCGCAACGAGCGCAACCCUCGUUCCAUGUUGCCAGCGCGUUAUGGCGGGGACUCAUGGGAGACUGCCGGGGUCAACUCGGAGGAAGGUGGGGACGACGUCAAAUCAUCAUGCCCCUUAUGUCUUGGGCUUCACGCAUGCUACAAUGGCCGGUACAAAGGGUUGCGAUACUGUGAGGUGGAGCGAAUCCCAAAAAGCCGGUCUCAGUUCGGAUUGGGGUCUGCAACUCGACCCCAUGAAGUCGGAGUCGCUAGUAAUCGCAGAUCAGCAACGCUGCGGUGAAUACGUUCCCGGGCCUUGUACACACCGCCCGUCAAGUCACGAAAGU